UGGGUGCAGCACAUCCCACCGAGAGA
Molecule: non-coding RNA, 26 nt
Filed under: Homo sapiens (human)
Lineage: Eukaryota; Metazoa; Chordata; Mammalia; Primates; Hominidae
Source: RNAcentral